GGCCUAACACAUGCAAGUCGAACGAACCUUCGGGUUAGUGGCGCACGGGUGCGUAACGCGUGGGAAUGUACACCUUGGUAAGGAAUAACUGCUGGAAACGGUAGCUAAUACCUUAUAAUGACUUCGGUCCAAAGAUUUAUCGCCAAGGAAUCAGCCCGCGUUUGAUUAGAUAGUUGGUGAGGUAAAGGCUCACCAAGUCUACGAUCAAUAGCUGGUCUGAGAGGAUGAUCAGCCAGACUGGAACUGAGACACGGUCCAGACUCCUACGGGAGGCAGCAGUAAGGAAUCUUCCACAAUGGGGGCAACCCUGAUGGAGCAACGCCGCGUGAAGGAUGAAGGCCUUAGGGUCGUAAACUUC
Molecule: ribosomal RNA, 358 nt
Filed under: uncultured organism
Description: bacterial SSU rRNA
Rfam family: Bacterial small subunit ribosomal RNA
Source: RNAcentral